CAGGCCUAACACAUGCAAGUCGAACGGACGAUCGGAGCUUGCUCCGAAAGUUAGUGGCGGACGGGUGAGUAACACGUGAGCAACCUGCCUUUCAGAGGGGGACAACAGUUGGAAACGACUGCUAAUACCGCAUAACGUCAUUGAGCGGCAUCGCUUGAUGACCAAAGAUUUAUCGCUGAAAGAUGGGCUCGCGUCUGAUUAGAUAGUUGGUGAGGUAACGGCCCACCAAGUCGACGAUCAGUAGCCGGACUGAGAGGUUGAACGGCCACAUUGGGACUGAGACACGGCCCAGACUCCUACGGGAGGCAGCAGUGGGGGAUAUUGGACAAUGGGGGGAACCCUGAUCCAGCGACGCCGCGUGAGGGAAGAAGGUUUUCGGAUUGUAAACCUCUGUUGACGGGGAAGAAAAUGACAGUACCCGUUUAGAAAGCCACGGCUAACUACGUGCCAGCAGCCGCGGUAAUACGUAGGUGGCAAGCGUUGUCCGGAAUUACUGGGUGUAAAGGGAGCGUAGGCGGGGCGGCAAGUUAGAAGUGAAAAUCAUGGGCUCAACUCAUGACCUGCUUUUGAAACUGUUGCUCUUGAGUGAAGUAGAGGCAAGCGGAAUUCGUUGUGUAGCGGUGAAAUGCUUAGAUAUGACGAAGAACUCCGAUUGCGAAGGCAGCUGGCUGUAGCGUUACUGACGCUGAAGCUCGAAAGCGUGGGUAUCGAACAGGAUUAGAUACCCUGGUAGUCCACGCGGUAAACGAUGGAUGCUCGCUGUGUGCCUUAUGAGGUACGUGGCCAAGCGAAAGCAUUAAGCAUCCCACCUGGGGAGUACGCCGGCAACGGUGAAACUCAAAGGAAUUGACGGGGGCCCGCACAAGCGGAGGAACAUGUGGUUUAAUUCGAUGAUACGCGAGGAACCUUACCCGGGCUCAAACGCGCGAGGACAGCGGCGGGGACGCCGCCUCCCUCCGGGGUCUCGUGCGAGGUGCUGCAUGGUUGUCGUCAGCUCGCGCCGUGAGGUGUCGGCUUAAGUGCCAUAACGAGCGCAACCCCCAUCUCCAGUUGCCACCGCGUUGUGGCGGGCACUCUGGCGAGACUGCCGGCGCAAGCUGUGAGGAAGGCGGGGAUGACGUCAAAUCAGCACGGCCCUUAUGUCCGGGGCUACACACGUGUUACAAUGGCGGGGCACAGAAGGAAGCCAGGCUGCGAGGCCGAGCCGAUCCCGAAAACCCGUCUCAGUUCGGAUCGGAGUCUGCAACCCGACUCCGUGAAGCUGGAUUCGCUAGUAAUCGCGCAUCAGCCAUGGCGCGGUGAAUACGUUCCCGG
This 1314-nucleotide ribosomal RNA is filed under the name uncultured rumen bacterium. RNAcentral's name for it is "partial 16S ribosomal RNA". It matches the Rfam family "Bacterial small subunit ribosomal RNA", at positions 43 to 1377 of the family's 1533-position model. The record is from RNAcentral.